RNAcentral lists this transfer RNA (70 nucleotides) under Asiagomphus septimus. RNAcentral's name for it is "tRNA-His". Lineage: Eukaryota; Metazoa; Arthropoda; Insecta; Odonata; Aeshnidae. The record is from RNAcentral.
AUUUAAGUAGUUUAUAUUUAAAAUUUUGGUUUGUGGGACCAGAGAUGUGGGAUGUAUCUCACCUUAGAUC